Molecule: small nucleolar RNA, 132 nt
Organism: Mastomys coucha (southern multimammate mouse)
Lineage: Eukaryota; Metazoa; Chordata; Mammalia; Rodentia; Muridae
Product: small nucleolar RNA SNORA17
Exons: 1
Source: RefSeq, a predicted model, not a curated record
CCUGCUUCUAAAGGUGUUGCAGCUGCAGCUGCUGUGUCACAUGUGCAUCAGUAGGUGGCAGAGAUGAGAGAGGCUAUGUCUAUGUUCAGUGCUCUGACCUGUUAACAUCUGAAUGAUUAGUUGACUAAUAGU